Molecule: ribosomal RNA, 739 nt
Filed under: uncultured bacterium
Lineage: Bacteria
Description: bacterial SSU rRNA
Rfam family: Bacterial small subunit ribosomal RNA
Source: RNAcentral
GAGUCUGCCUUGAGAUCGGAGUGCUUGCACUCUGUGAAACAAGAUACAGGCUAGCGGCGGACGGGUGAGUAACACGUGGGUAACCUGCCCAAGAGAUCGGGAUAACACCUGGAAACAGAUGCUAAUACCGGAUAACAACAGAUGAUGCCUAUCAACUGUUUAAAAGAUGGUUCUGCUAUCACUCUUGGAUGGACCUGCGGUGCAUUAGCUAGUUGGUAGGGUAACGGCCUACCAAGGCGAUGAUGCAUAGCCGAGUUGAGAGACUGAUCGGCCACAUUGGGACUGAGACACGGCCCAAACUCCUACGGGAGGCAGCAGUAGGGAAUCUUCCACAAUGGACGCAAGUCUGAUGGAGCAACGCCGCGUGAGUGAAGAAGGGUUUCGGCUCGUAAAGCUCUGUUGUUGGUGAAGAAGGACAGGGGUAGUAACUGACCUUUGUUUGACGGUAAUCAAUUAGAAAGUCACGGCUAACUACGUGCCAGCAGCCGCGGUAAUACGUAGGUGGCAAGCGUUGUCCGGAUUUAUUGGGCGUAAAGCGAGUGCAGGCGGCUCGAUAAGUCUGAUGUGAAAGCCUUCGGCUCAACCGGAGAAUUGCAUCAGAAACUGUCGAGCUUGAGUACAGAAGAGGAGAGUGGAGCUCCAUGUGUAGCGGUGAAAUGCGUAGAUAUAUGGAAGAACACCGGUGGCGAAGGCGGCUCUCUGGUCUGUUACUGACGCUGAGGCUCGAAAGCAUGGGUAG